GCUUGGUUGUGGUGACAUGCCUGUAGUUCCAACUACUCAGAAGGCUGAGGCAGGAGAAUUGCGAGAGCCCUGGAGUUUGGGGCUGCAGUUCUCUGUGCUGAUCAGGUGUCCCACUAAGCUUGGCAUAAGGAGCUGAACCUGCCCAGUUCAGAAAUGGAGUUCUCAUGUAGUAGGCAGUGAGCUCUCACCUGUGAAUAGCCACUGUGCUGCAGCCUCGGCCACAUGGCAGGACCCUGUUUCU
This 241-nucleotide small RNA is filed under the name Castor canadensis (American beaver). RNAcentral's name for it is "Metazoan signal recognition particle RNA (ENSCCNG00000029799.1)". Lineage: Eukaryota; Metazoa; Chordata; Mammalia; Rodentia; Castoridae. The record is from RNAcentral.